RNAcentral lists this ribosomal RNA (253 nucleotides) under uncultured bacterium. RNAcentral describes it as "partial 16S ribosomal RNA". It matches the Rfam family "Bacterial small subunit ribosomal RNA", at positions 524 to 776 of the family's 1533-position model. The record is from RNAcentral.
UACGUAGGGUGCAAGCGUUGUCCGGAAUUAUUGGGCGUAAAGAGCUCGUAGGCGGUCUGUCGCGUCGGAUGUGAAAAUCCAGGGCUCAACCCUGGACCUGCAUUCGAUACGGGCAGACUAGAGUUCGGUAGGGGAGACUGGAAUUCCUGGUGUAGCGGUGAAAUGCGCAGAUAUCAGGAGGAACACCGGUGGCGAAGGCGGGUCUCUGGGCCGAAACUGACGCUGAGGAGCGAAAGCCAGGGGAGCAAACGGG